GUGUGCGGCCAUACUUCCCUGAUCUCGCGGGAUCUCAUCUGAUCUCGCGAAGCUAAGCAGGCGGGGGCCUGGUUAGCUCUCGGGUGGGAGAGAUGACCCGAAUCGCCGUCGAGG
RNAcentral lists this ribosomal RNA (114 nucleotides) under Prolemur simus (greater bamboo lemur). Lineage: Eukaryota; Metazoa; Chordata; Mammalia; Primates; Lemuridae. The record is from RNAcentral.